UACGUAGGGUGCGAGCGUUAAUCGUAAUUACUGGGCGUAAAGCGUGCGCAGGAGGCUCAUUAAGACAGGCGUGAAAUCCCCGGGCUUAACCUGGGAACUGCGCUUGUGACUGGUGGGCUGGAGUGUGUCAGAGGGAGGUGGAAUUCCACGUGUAGCAGUGAAAUGCGUAGAGAUGUGGAGGAACACCGAUGGCGAAGGAAUCCUCCUGGGACAACACUGACUAUCAUGCACGAAAGCGUGGGGAGCAAACAGG
This 253-nucleotide ribosomal RNA is filed under the name uncultured bacterium. RNAcentral describes it as "partial 16S ribosomal RNA". It matches the Rfam family "Bacterial small subunit ribosomal RNA", at positions 524 to 776 of the family's 1533-position model. The record is from RNAcentral.